AGAGUUUGAUUCUGGCUCAGAACGAACGCUGGCAGCGUGGAUUAGGCAUGCAAGUCGAACGGGAUCCAGGGCUAUAGCAAUAUAAUCCUGGUGAGAGUGGCGUAAGGGUGAGUAACGCGUGGGUAAUCUACCUCUAUGUUGGGGAUAACUCGCCGAAAGGUGAGCUAACACCGAAUGUGGUCGGCUCUCAUAAGAGAGAUGGAUUAAAGACGGGGAUCCUUCGGGACCUGUCGCAUGGAGAGGAGCCCGCGUGCCAUCAGCUAGUUGGUGAGGUAACGGCUCACCAAGGCUUACGGCUAGCUGGUCUGAGAGGAUGACCAGCCACACUGGGACUGAGACACUGCCCAGACUCCUACGGGAGGCUGCAGUCGAGGAUCUUGGACAAUGGGGGCAACCCUGAUCCAGCGACGCUGCGUGGAGGAUGAAGGCCUUCGGGUUGUAAACUCCUGUCAUUCGGGAAAAACGACCUUGGGAUUAAUACUUCCAGGGAGUGAUGGUACCGGAAGAGGAAGCCACGGCUAACUCUGUGCCAGCAGCCGCGGUAAUACAGAGGUGGCAAGCGUUGUUCGGAUUUACUGGGCGUAAAGGGUGCGUAGGUGGUCUCCUAUGUCGAAUGUGAAAUCCCAAGGCUCAACCUUGGAAUUGCGUUCGAAACUGGGAGACUUGAGUGCAGGAAGGGAGAGCGGAAUUCUUGGUGUAGCGGUGAAAUGCGUUGAUAUCAAGAAGAACACCGGUGGCGAAGGCGGCUCUCUGGAAUGCUACUGACACUGAGGCACGAAAGCUGGGGGAGCAAACAGGAUUAGAUACCCUGGUAGUCCCAGCUGUAAACGGUGCACACUUGGUGUGGGAGGAAUUGACCCCUUCCGUGCCGGAGCUAACGCGUUAAGUGUGCCGCCUGGGGAGUACGGUCGCAAGACUAAAACUCAAAGAAAUUGACGGGGGCCCGCACAAGCGGAGGAGCAUGUGGCUCAAUUCGAUGCAACGCGAAGAACCUUACCAAGGCUUGACAUGCAGCUGCACGUCCCGUGAAAGCGGGAUUCCUUCGAGGGUGCUGCACAGGUGCUGCAUGGCUGUCGUCAGUUCGUGCCGUGAGGUGUUGGGUUAAGUCCCGCAACGAACGCAACCCCUGUGUUUAGUUGCUACCAGGUAAUGCUGGGCACUCUAAACAGACUGCCUGUACAAAACAGGAGGAAGGUGGGGACGACGUCAAGUCAGUAUGGCCCUUACGCCCUGGGCUGCACACGUGCUACAAUGGCCGGUACAGAGGGAAGCAAGACCGCGAGGUGGAGCAAAUCCUUUAAAACCGGCCCCAGUUCGGAUUGAAGGCUGAAACUCGCCUUCAUGAAGUUGGAUUCGCUAGUAAUGGCGCAUCAGCUACGGCGCCGUGAAUACGUUCCCGGGCCUUGUACACACCGCCCGUCACAUCAUGAAAGCCGUCUGCACCCGAAGCCGUCGAUUCAACCCGCAAGGGGGAUAGGUGUCUAAGGUGUGGGUGGUGAUUGGGAUGGAGUCGUAACAAGGUA
This 1523-nucleotide ribosomal RNA is filed under the name metagenome. RNAcentral describes it as "bacterial SSU rRNA". It matches the Rfam family "Bacterial small subunit ribosomal RNA". The record is from RNAcentral.